UACGGAGGGUGCAAACGUUGCUCGGCAUUAUUGGGCGUAAAGCGCACGUAGGCGGCCGUCUAAGUCGGGUGUGAAAGCCCAGGGCUCAACCCUGGAAGUGCACUCGAAACUGGACGGCUUGAAUAUGGAAGAGGGUCGCGGAAUUCCCGGUGUAGAGGUGAAAUUCGUAGAUAUCGGGAGGAACACCAGUGGCGAAGGCGGCGACCUGGGCCAAUAUUGACGCUGAGGUGCGAAAGCGUGGGGAGCAAACAGG
RNAcentral lists this ribosomal RNA (253 nucleotides) under uncultured bacterium. RNAcentral describes it as "partial 16S ribosomal RNA". It matches the Rfam family "Bacterial small subunit ribosomal RNA", at positions 524 to 776 of the family's 1533-position model. The record is from RNAcentral.